UACGGGGGGGGCAAGCGUUGUUCGGAAUUACUGGGCGUAAAGGGUGCGUAGGCGGUUCGUUAAGUUAGAUGUGAAAACUCUGGGCUCAACCCAGAGCCUGCAUCUAAAACUGGCGGGCUAGAGUUCUGGAGGGGGUAGCGGAAUUCCUGGUGUAGCGGUGAAAUGCGUAGAUAUCGGGAGGAACACCUGUGGCGAAAGCGGCUCACUGGACCACAACUGACGCUGAGGCGCGAAAGCUAGGGGAGCAAACAGG
RNAcentral lists this ribosomal RNA (253 nucleotides) under uncultured prokaryote. RNAcentral describes it as "partial 16S ribosomal RNA". It matches the Rfam family "Bacterial small subunit ribosomal RNA", at positions 524 to 776 of the family's 1533-position model. The record is from RNAcentral.